This 750-nucleotide long non-coding RNA is filed under the name Linum usitatissimum (flax). RNAcentral's name for it is "long non-coding RNA (LUSI_LNC002050)". Lineage: Eukaryota; Viridiplantae; Streptophyta; Magnoliopsida; Malpighiales; Linaceae. The record is from RNAcentral.
CGCCCACCGCAAUCCUAAGCAGCGGCCGUGGUGGUGGCUACCUGAGGAGUGGCAGCAGUACUACCUUCAUCAGUUUCCAAGUUCGCUGCGCUGAUUCCAAUCCAAACCGCGGAUUCGGUCCCUCUAACAAAGGAAACAAGGCACUUACCUCCUCCAUAUUGUGUUUUUCUUCUUUUUCUUUCUCUUGUUCAUUGUGAUAAUUUCAUGGCUGAUGAUAUCUUGAGCUCUUUCCUAUUUUGAAACGAAAUUCAGGCCUCUCUAGACGAGAAAGGCUCAAAGAGACCGCCAAGGUAAUUAGUUGCUUUUAGCUGGAAAAUUGAUACAAGCUGGAAUUUCUGAUUGUAUUCUCUCAAUAAAUGCGAACUUAGGAGUGAUAAUUUCGCUUGAUGAACGAUCUGGGAAGUAUAUUCUUACCUUUCUUUUCCUCUAAUGCAGGAAAUCAAAUAAACAAUCUUCCUCUUUGCCGACGCGUAAGUUCAUGAUUCAGGAAAAGUCGACUUAACCUCUCAAUUUGAUCAUGCCCAUUUAUGGACUAAACUGAGUAGUGACGAUUCAUGAAUAGAGAUUUCCACUUUCCUUUUUGGCCUCAUUAUCAAUUUCCAUACCCCCCUAAGGAGUCUGUUAGCAGCUGGAAUGAUCUUCAUCGCUGUGUUCUGUUACCUAUGGCUUGUUCAACUGGUCUUUCUGAUUCAUUCACCUUGCCAUCUAAGAUUACAUUGGGCUAACACGAAUUUUCGAUGUAGAGGCACC